UAGCUCAGUCAGUAAAGCAUCUGCCUGCGAUGCAGGAGGCCUGGGUUCAAUUCCUAG
Molecule: transfer RNA, 57 nt
Filed under: Bos grunniens (domestic yak)
Lineage: Eukaryota; Metazoa; Chordata; Mammalia; Artiodactyla; Bovidae
Also listed under: 1 other name
Rfam family: tRNA
About the family: Transfer RNA (tRNA) molecules are approximately 80 nucleotides in length. Their secondary structure includes four short double-helical elements and three loops (D, anti-codon, and T loops).
Source: Rfam by way of RNAcentral